Phrynosoma platyrhinos (Desert horned lizard) is the source of this 72-nucleotide non-coding RNA. The record is from the annotation of a GenBank genome assembly. Lineage: Eukaryota; Metazoa; Chordata; Lepidosauria; Squamata; Phrynosomatidae.
GUCAGUGUGGUGUAGCGGUUUGAAUGUUGGACCACGACUCUGGAGAUUAGGGUUCAAUCCCCCCCUUGGCCA